AGAGUUUGAUCAUGGCUCAGGAUGAACGCUGGCGGCGUGCCUAAUACAUGCAAGUCGAGCGAGAAGCUACUUUGACGCGUUUUCGGACAAGUCUGUGUAGUGGAAAGCGGCGGACGGGUGAGUAACGCGUAGGCAACCUGCCCUUAGCAGAGGGAUAGCCAUUGGAAACGAUGAUUAAAACCUCAUAAAGCUGCAUAAACACAUGUAGAUGCAGCCAAAGAUUUAUCGGCUAAGGAUGGGCCUGCGUCUGAUUAACUAGUUGGCGGGGUAACGGCCCACCAAGGUGACGAUCAGUAGCCGACCUGAGAGGGUGAUCGGCCACAUUGGAACUGAGACACGGUCCAAACUUCUACGGAAGGCAGCAGUAAGGAAUCUUGCACAAUGGGGGAAACCCUGAUGCAGCAACGCCGCGUGAACGAUGAAGGCCUUCGGGUUGUAAAGUUCUGAUCUUGGGGAAGAAGAAAGUGACGGUACCCAAGGAGAAAGCCCCGGCUAAAUACGUGCCAGCAGCCGCGGUAAUACGUAUGGGGCAAGCGUUAUCCGGAAUUAUUGGGCGUAAAGAGUGCGUAGGUGGUUACCUAAGCGCAAGGUUUAAUCUUGAGGCUCAACCUCAUUCUGCCUUGCGAACUGGGCUACUUGAGUGCUGGAGGGGAAAGCGGAAUUCCCAGUGUAGUGGUGAAAUGCGUAGAUAUUGGGAAGAACACCGGUGGCGAAGGCGGCUUUCUGGACAGUAACUGACACUGAGGCACGAAAGCGUGGGGAGCAAACAGGAUUAGAUACCCUGGUAGUCCACGCCGUAAACGAUGAGCACUAGUUGUUGGGUCCGAAUGGAUUCAGUGACGCAGUUAACGCAAUAAGUGCUCCGCCUGGGGAGUACGGUGGCAACACUAAAACUCAAAUGAAUUGACGGGGGCCCGCACAAGCGGUGGAGCAUGUGGUUUAAUUCGAUGCAACGCGAAGAACCUUACCUGGACUUGACAUUGAGAGGAUACUGAAGAGAUUCGGUAGUGCCGCAAGGAACUCGAAAACAGGUGCUGCAUGGCUGUCGUCAGCUCGUGUCGUGAGAUGUUGGGUUAAGUCCCGCAACGAGCGCAACCCUUGUUCUUUGUUGCCAGCACGUAAUGGUGGGAACUCAAAGAAGACUGCCGGUGACAAACCGGAGGAAGGCAGGGAUGACGUCAAGUCAUCAUGGCCCUUACGUCCAGGGCUACACACGUGCUACAAUGGCGUAAACAAAGAGAAGCAGAGGAGCGAUCCCGAGCAAAUCUCAAAAAUAACGUCUCAGUUCGGACUGCAGGCUGCAACUCGCCUGCACGAAGCUGGAAUCGCUAGUAAUCGCGGAUCAGCAUGCCGCGGUGAAUACGUUCCCGGGUCUUGUACACACCGCCCGUCACACCAUGGGAGUCGGUAAUGCCCGAAGCCAGUGGCCCAACUGCAAAGAGGGAGCUGUCGAAGGCAGGACUGAUAACUGGGGUGAAGUCGUAACAAGGUAACCGUA
RNAcentral lists this ribosomal RNA (1498 nucleotides) under uncultured rumen bacterium. Its description in RNAcentral is "partial 16S ribosomal RNA". It matches the Rfam family "Bacterial small subunit ribosomal RNA". The record is from RNAcentral.